GGAAAGACAAUGAAGGGAAGUAGUACAUCGUCAGUUUUUUUCAGAGAGUCGGUGGCAGGUGAAAACCGAUAAAAUCUGUGAUGGAAUCCGUCCUGGAGUUAUGGGCUGAAAGGAGCAGUAGGCUUUAUCGGGUGCGACCGUUAUAUCGCGGCUAAGAGGAUUGGAGCAAUCCAAUCAAUUAGGGUGGCAACGCGGGAAUACGUCUCUCGUCCCUAUA
This 217-nucleotide non-coding RNA is filed under the name Thermotalea metallivorans. Its description in RNAcentral is "T-box sequence". It matches the Rfam family "T-box leader". Rfam says of the family: Uncharged tRNA acts as the effector for transcription antitermination of genes in the T-box leader family. T-boxes are found upstream of many aminoacyl-tRNA synthetase genes and some amino acid biosynthetic genes usually in Gram-positive bacteria. The record is from RNAcentral. Lineage: Bacteria; Bacillati; Bacillota; Clostridia; Peptostreptococcales; Thermotaleaceae.